AACGUAGGGGACAAGCGUUAUCCGGAUUUACUGGGCGUAAAGCGCCCGUAGGCGGCUUUUUAAGUUGGACGUGAAAGCUCCCGGCUUAACUGGGAGAGGCCGUUCAAAACUGAGAGGCUAGAGUGAGGCAGAGGAGCGCGGAAUUCCCGGUGUAGUGGUGGAAUGCGUAGAGAUCGGGAAGAACACCAGUGGCGAAGGCGGUCUGCUGGGCCGUUGCUGACGCUGAGGCGCGACAGCGUGGGGAGCAAACAGG
This 253-nucleotide ribosomal RNA is filed under the name uncultured bacterium. RNAcentral's name for it is "partial 16S ribosomal RNA". It matches the Rfam family "Bacterial small subunit ribosomal RNA", at positions 524 to 776 of the family's 1533-position model. The record is from RNAcentral.